This 253-nucleotide ribosomal RNA is filed under the name uncultured bacterium. Its description in RNAcentral is "partial 16S ribosomal RNA". It matches the Rfam family "Bacterial small subunit ribosomal RNA", at positions 524 to 776 of the family's 1533-position model. The record is from RNAcentral.
UACGUAGGGUGCGAGCGUUAAUCGGAAUUACUGGGCGUAAAGCGUGCGCAGGCGGUUUGUUAAGCCAGAUGUGAAAUCCCCGGGCUUAACCUGGGAAUGGCAUUUGGGACUGCAAGGCUGGAGUGCGGCAGAGGAGACUGGAAUUCCUGGUGUAGCGGUGAAAUGCGCAGAUAUCAGGAGGAACACCGGUGGCGAAGGCGGGUCUCUGGGCCGGUACCGACGCUGAGGAGCGAAAGCGUGGGGAGCGAACAGG